GUAGGUGGCAAGCGUUGUCCGGAAUUAUUGGGCGUAAAGCGCGCGCAGGCGGUUCUUUAAGUCUGAUGUGAAAGCCCACGGCUCAACCGUGGAGGGUCAUUGGAAACUGGAGAGCUUGAGUACAGAAGAGGAAAGCGGAAUUCCACGUGUAGCGGUGAAAUGCGUAGAGAUGUGGAGGAACACCAGUGGCGAAGGCGGCUUUCUGGUCUGUAACUGACGCUGAGGCGCGAAAGCGUGGGGGGAGCAAACAGGAUUAGAUACCCUGGUAGUCCACGCCGUAAACGAUGAGUGCUAAGUGUUAGGGGGUUUACGCCCCCCCCUUAGUGCUGCAGCUAACGCAUUAAGCACUCCGCCUGGGAGUACGGCCGCAAGGCUG
This 376-nucleotide ribosomal RNA is filed under the name uncultured organism. Its description in RNAcentral is "partial 16S ribosomal RNA". It matches the Rfam family "Bacterial small subunit ribosomal RNA", at positions 527 to 896 of the family's 1533-position model. The record is from RNAcentral.